CGAGGGCAGACGCGGUACCAGGUGCGGAAGGGGGUGGCGGCCCGGGCCCGUCCUUGGAAGAAGAACCUGGAAGAGGUCUUUGGGAAGAGGUGGCUGCUCGGACUGCUCAUCCCCGUGCUCAACGUAGGAAGCGACUAUCACAGGCAGAAGGAGCAGUGACGCCGUCCGGCACACAGGUGCGCACACGCACACGUACAUGCACAUGCGUGGGCCAUAAUGGAGUUGCAGCACUUUGAGGCGCUUCUCUUUCCCUCCCCACAUCUCAGCCUUGCCACCUACAGGAAGGGAGGCAACUAUCAAGCUAGCUGGGCUGAUUCUGUAUUUUAGAAGGGGAAAUUGCGGCCCGUGUUAUAUAUGAAGCUACAGCAGUAAUCUCUGGGUUGCUAAAAGCGUUCAUCAGACCAACCCUUGGGACUCUGAAUCAUUUUCUCACUGUGCCCCUUCUCACAAUCUUCUCCCUUCCCACCUUGCCUUUCAUGCUUAACUUGCCGUAGGAGUAGCAACAACAACAUCCCCCAGCAUCUCAAGGUAGUCUGCGUUGCUCUGAGUAGGCUGUAAGCACAGCAGAUACUCCUGUGGGAUUUGCCCAAUCUGUUACUUGAAAGCUUCUUCUUCUUCUUUUUUGCAGUUUUUCAACUGACCCCAAUAUAGCAAGGAGCCGGUUUCACAAGAACAGCAGAAUGUGGUUGGUGAAGCACUUUAAGGUGCAAGGAAUGACAACUGCUGGGGAGGCAGAUGGUAUAUGCCUGCACACUUCAGAGAUGACAAGCAUUUCCCUGCCCAUUUCUAGUUGCUCCCCUCCCCUCCAACAUCCAGGAACGAUAGUUAACAGCCUGAGCAUGUGGCCUGCCCAGGGUAGCAGGUCUGCUGGCUGAUUUUUAUUUUUAUAUUUUUUAGAGAAUGAGGUUCGUUUUCAACCCACUUGCCCUGAUCCCUGACACAUAGAGCUGUUCAAAGCCCAUCUUGCCAAUAGGAUGAGGAAACAAGCUUAUUUGCGGUGAGCACAAUGAUGGCAGCAGGGACAGCAGGCAAGCGUAUGUGAAUGGAGCGAUUGAAUGUAUGAAGACAUUAAAGUUCUGGACUGUCUUAUACUGAGGCAGAGCACUGGUCCACUGAGCCCACGAUUGUCUGACUU
Molecule: non-coding RNA, 1135 nt
Organism: Podarcis lilfordi (Lilford's wall lizard)
Lineage: Eukaryota; Metazoa; Chordata; Lepidosauria; Squamata; Lacertidae
Source: the annotation of a GenBank genome assembly